RNAcentral lists this ribosomal RNA (253 nucleotides) under uncultured bacterium. Its description in RNAcentral is "partial 16S ribosomal RNA". It matches the Rfam family "Bacterial small subunit ribosomal RNA", at positions 524 to 776 of the family's 1533-position model. The record is from RNAcentral.
GACGUAGGGUGCGAGCGUUGUCCGGAUUUAUUGGGCGUAAAGCGUGCGUAGGCGGCUGCGCAAGUCGGUUGUGAAACCCCGGGGCUCAACCCCGGAACUGCAUCCGAUACUGCGUGGCUAGAGGUAGGUAGGGGAGAUCGGAAUUCCUGGUGUAGCGGUGAAAUGCGCAGAUAUCAGGAGGAACACCGGUGGCGAAGGCGGAUCUCUGGGCCUUACCUGACGCUCAGGCACGAAAGCUAGGGGAGCGAACAGG